This 600-nucleotide ribosomal RNA is filed under the name Sulcospira paludiformis. RNAcentral describes it as "partial large subunit ribosomal RNA". It matches the Rfam family "Bacterial large subunit ribosomal RNA", at positions 1272 to 2560 of the family's 2925-position model. Lineage: Eukaryota; Metazoa; Mollusca; Gastropoda; Pachychilidae. The record is from RNAcentral.
UGAUGAGUAUUUUUAAGUUAGCAUAUAUGGAUAAAUAUUAAAAGUAUCCGCAGCGAUAUGCAAUUUUGAAGUUAAAAUGGAAGGAAGGAACUCGGCAAAUCUUAGCUUCGCCUGUUUAUCAAAAACAUGGCUCUCUGUUACUUUAAUAUAGGGAGUCGGACCUGCCCAGUGAAAUUUUUUAACGGCCGCGGUACCCUGACCGUGCAAAGGUAGCAUAAUCAUUUGCCUUAUAAUUGAAGGCUUGUAUGAAUGGUUUGACGGGAGCAUUGCUGUCUCCCUCCCAGUAGAUAGAACUUGACCUUUAGGUGAAGAGGCCUAAAUAUAAUUGAAAGACAAGAAGACCCUGUCGAGCUUUAAAAUUAGAUUAGAGGGAAAUAUAAAAUAGCCUAAAUUUAUAGCUAAUUGGUUUUUUGGUUGGGGCGACCGAGGAACAGCAAGAGCUUCCUUUAUCUAAGCUGACUUAUAGGUAUUGAUCCAGCCUAAAGCUGAUUAAAAAAAUUAGUUACCGCAGGGAUAACAGCAUAAUCUCUCUUAAGAGACCAAAUCGAAAGAGGGGGUUGUGACCUCGAUGUUGGACUAGAAUAUCCUGAAGAUGCAGAA